RNAcentral lists this ribosomal RNA (484 nucleotides) under uncultured bacterium. RNAcentral describes it as "partial 16S ribosomal RNA". It matches the Rfam family "Bacterial small subunit ribosomal RNA", at positions 30 to 507 of the family's 1533-position model. The record is from RNAcentral.
AUUGAACGCUGGCGGCAGGCCUAACACAUGCAAGUCGAGCGGAUGAAGGGAGCUUGCUCCUGGAUUCAGCGGCGGACGGGUGAGUAAUGCCUAGGAAUCUGCCUGGUAGUGGGGGAUAACGUCCGGAAACGGGCGCUAAUACCGCAUACGUCCUGAGGGAGAAAGUGGGGGAUCUUCGGACCUCACGCUAUCAGAUGAGCCUAGGUCGGAUUAGCUAGUUGGUGGGGUAAAGGCCUACCAAGGCGACGAUCCGUAACUGGUCUGAGAGGAUGAUCAGUCACACUGGAACUGAGACACGGUCCAGACUCCUACGGGAGGCAGCAGUGGGGAAUAUUGGACAAUGGGCGAAGGCCUGAUCCAGCCAUGCCGCGUGUGUGAAGAAGGUCUUCGGAUUGUAGAGCACUUUAAGUUGGGAGGAAGGGCAGUAAGUUAAUACCUUGCUGUUUUGACGUUACCAACAGAAUAAGCACCGGCUAACUUCGUG